This 450-nucleotide ribosomal RNA is filed under the name uncultured bacterium. RNAcentral's name for it is "partial 16S ribosomal RNA". It matches the Rfam family "Bacterial small subunit ribosomal RNA", at positions 354 to 796 of the family's 1533-position model. The record is from RNAcentral.
GUGGGGAAUUUUGGACAAUGGGCGCAAGCCUGAUCCAGCAAUGCCGCGUGCAGGAAGAAGGCCUUCGGGUUGUAAACUGCUUUUGUACGGAACGAAACGGUCCUGGUUAAUACCUGGGGCUAAUGACGGUACCGUAAGAAUAAGCACCGGCUAACUACGUGCCAGCAGCCGCGGUAAUACGUAGGGUGCGAGCGUUAAUCGGAAUUACUGGGCGUAAAGUGUGCGCAGGCGGUGCUGUAAGACAGGCGUGAAAUCCCCGGGCUCAACCUGGGAAUUGCGCUUGUGACUGCAGUGCUGGAGUACGGCAGAGGGGGAUGGAAUUCCGCGUGUAGCAGUGAAAUGCGUAGAUAUGCGGAGGAACACCGAUGGCGAAGGCAGUCCCCUGGGCCUGUACUGACGCUCAUGCACGAAAGCGUGGGGAGCAAACAGGAUUAGAAACCCCGGUAGUCC